UGGGGAAUACUGGACAAUGGGCGCAAGCCUGAUCCAGCCAUGCCGCGUGAGUGAAGAAGGCCCUCGGGUUGUAAAGCUCUUUUGUCCGGAAAGAAAAGCAUCGGGUUAAUACCCCGGUGUUCUGACGGUACCGGAAGAAUAAGCACCGGCUAACUUCGUGCCAGCAGCCGCGGUAGUACGAAGGGUGCAAGCGUUACUCGGAAUUACUGGGCGUAAAGCGUGCGUAGGUGGUUGUUUAAGUCUGAUGUGAAAGCCCUGGGCUCAACCUGGGAAUGGCAUUGGAAACUGGGCAGCUAGAGGGCGGUAGAGGGUAGUGGAAUUCCCGGUGUAGCAGUGAAAUGCGUAGAGAUCGGGAGGAACAUCUGUGGCGAAGGCGACUGCCUGGACCAGCACUGACACUGAGGCACGAAAGCGUGGGGAGCAA
This 424-nucleotide ribosomal RNA is filed under the name uncultured bacterium. Its description in RNAcentral is "bacterial SSU rRNA". It matches the Rfam family "Bacterial small subunit ribosomal RNA", at positions 355 to 771 of the family's 1533-position model. The record is from RNAcentral.